UAUCUUCAGGGCAGGGUGAAAUUCCCGAUCGGCGGUAUAGUCCGCGAGCGCAUGGGCGCAGGGCUUGGCAUAUGUUCAAGCCGGGAUUUGGUGAGAUUCCAAAACCGACAGUAUAGUCUGGAUGAAAGAAGAUG
This 134-nucleotide non-coding RNA is filed under the name human gut metagenome. Its description in RNAcentral is "FMN riboswitch (RFN element)". It matches the Rfam family "FMN riboswitch aptamer (RFN element)". From Rfam's summary of the family: The RFN element is a highly conserved domain that is found frequently in the 5'-untranslated regions of prokaryotic mRNAs that encode for flavin mononucleotide (FMN) biosynthesis and transport proteins. This element is a metabolite-dependent riboswitch that directly binds FMN in the absence of proteins. In Bacillus subtilis, the riboswitch most likely controls gene expression by causing premature transcription termination within the 5' untranslated region of the ribDEAHT operon and precluding access to the ribosome-binding site of ypaA mRNA. The record is from RNAcentral. RNAcentral also lists the same sequence under 1 other name.